This is a non-coding RNA of Phalacrocorax carbo (great cormorant), 9588 nucleotides long. The record is from RefSeq and is a predicted model, not a curated record. NCBI's taxonomy places the organism in Eukaryota, Metazoa, Chordata, Aves, Suliformes, Phalacrocoracidae.
CGGGCAUCUCGCGGGGCGGGUUUCGGCGGCCACAGCCGGUGGCGGCCGCCGGCGAGGGCCGGGGCGGCGCGCGGUCUCCUCGGGCCGGCAGGGCGGCCUUCCCGGCCGCGGCUCCUGGGGAGGUGUCAGACCAGGGUCACGUCAGGUGGAGGGGAUUAAGGGCACCGGGAAGCCGGCCCCAGAAACGGGCAGCGUUGCGGGUAGUUCGAGGCGCUGUGAAGCGUGUGUGCAUUGGUGCUGGCUUGUCUUUCUAAACGCACAGAAUUAUCUUUUUCUAUUUAUUUAGCAUAAUUCCAGUGUGUUACCAAGUGCUCAGGUGUCAUCAUCCAGUUAAUAUAAAAAUAUUCUCGUUUUAAGAGGAAAAAAAAAAACCAUUGAGACUGGCUCCGGGUAGAAGCUGAGCUACAAUACGGUAACAGUCUUGUUACUUCAUCUAGAGAUCAGUUAGUCUGGCUUACAUCCAUGCAAAUAUAUCUAAUGUCAUUGUGGCUAUACUUGAAAUAUGUGUUAAAGAUAUUUUUAAUAAUGUAGCGAUAACUUGGCAGGCUGAUUUCCCGAUGUAGGAAAAAAAGUAUGAACUUAACUGUUAAACAUUGCCAUAUAUUGUAGUCAAGUCUCAUUUUCCAACUAAGACUAUCUGACACAAUCCAUUAUACUUUGUCACAUCUCAGCUAUUCUUCCCAGAUUUUGCCCUGGCAGGUGCUGCCCCAAGUUGGUUGACUGAUUUAAGAGCGCUAGCUAGAAUGGUAUAGCUGCUUUCUUAGAGUGAGAUUAAGGAAAGAUGACUACUUGUGUCCCGUCUUGUGACUACCAAGUGUCCCUAACACUUUACAGUAGGGCUGUAACACAAUGUAGUUUGCCAUGCUUGCAGGGUGCUAUUGUUUGAUACUUGCCUCAAAAUCAGCCCAAUAUGGUCGAAUUCUAUAAUUUUGAAAAACCUCUGAUUUAUGUGUGCCUCUUAGAAUAUGGUGGGAAAAUAUCAAGAUUCUUGCUGCUCUGGGAAUAUUGUGGUCUUUGAAGAACUGUUUUUGAGACAGCUUUCGUCAGCUGACCAUCAAAAAUGGGAGAAAACAAGCUCUGACUCCUGUAUCUUUGCUGUUCUCUCUCCCCAAGAGUUGGAAAAAAAGAUGAGUGAGGAGAAGGUAGACACAAAGGUGGUUGACUACCUGCAAGUGCCUCAACAAUUGAGGGAAAAAAGCUGCAAUGUGAUCUCACAUUUUAAUGUACACAAAAGAAUUCACGUAAGAGAAAGCACUCACAAAUACCAGAGGCACAGGAAAAUCUUCAACCAAGGUUUGCACUUUUUAGAUUCAAAAUCAAUAUGAAAAACUUGCAGGAAAUUGGGCAUUUCUAUUUUAGUUCUCAUAAAACUGAGUGUUUGAGGAUUUUUAGCUUUCUAAGGAUGUGAGGUUUGGGCACAUUUGCAGCAUUGUGACUCUGUAUGUCUGCCAGUUCUUUACUGAUAAAGCCAAAGCCACUGGACAUUUUAACAAGCUGUUACAUCUUUCAGGAAUACCAACUUGUUACAAGUGUUGUGAAGGUAAUCACCUGAAAAGAAGAAAGAUUCCUUGUCAGUAUGGCUGGGAGGAAAGUUGUCUUAAGAGUGUGCCCCUUUUAGUUUGUUAUUUGUCUGGCUACUGUUAAAACUGCAUUUUAGAGGCUACGUUAAAAGAGCAUAGGCUCACUAAGUCAAGAACUUAAGUAUUGCCAAAUGUAUGUAGUGAUUUUUUUCCCCCAUGUAAUCUUAAAAGUUGGAUUGCCUUGGAAUAUGCCUUCUCGUGUACAGAAGUCUUCCUUUUCUAAAAAUGUUUUUCUCCAACUCUUCCCCCCGUUCCUCUGUCACAUUCACUAUCCGGGUGCUCACAGAUUAGACUGUAGUUUGUGAGAUUAGUCCUGCAUCUGUUGUAGAUAAUAUAUAUAAGGAAUUAGCUUAGACUAAUAUUACCAUAUGUAUCCUUAUUCUUAAUUUUUCUAUCUAAGGGUAAGCCAUAGAGGAUAGCAGUGUAACCAAUGCCUUCAGAAGGUAUGACUUGGGCCAGUCUAAAGAUUCUUUUUGUGAGCCUGCCAGUUUUUCAUUCUUCUUAAAACUUACUUCCCAAAGUCAUAGUUUUGGGGGAAAGGUAUUUGGGCAGGAGGGGAGGGAUUGCUGGAGUGCAAAGAAGAUUGCGACAGGGAGGAAGGGGAUUAAGGAAUGGAGAGGUUGUAAACAAGGAAGGUGAAGCCGUUGCUUCUGCCUUUUGACAGAGUUGCUGCAAGGUUUUAGUAGAAAUAGAAGCUCAAAGGGAAAGAGCUUUCACUGUCCAUGAAUUAACUGAGCUUCAAACACAUGUGGCUUCUGGGGGUGCUCCACGUGGUUUGAGACCUCUUGCAAUUAUCUUUGUGAGAGCAGGUUCUUGGAAUUCAUUGCUUAAAAUUAGGCUCUUAGACUGUGGAUGUCUGCAAUUCGUUAUUACUACCUUGCAGUGAGGAUUAACGGUAGUAUUAACAGUUGAGUGGUGAGCUAUGGGAAAGCAAAAACUGUUUAUUCAGAACAAGAUAAUUUCUUAAAAUACUAGAUGGUUCCACAUGCCUGUAUUACUAUAGAAGCAUUUAAGUUUGAAAAGACCUUUAAGAUCACCAAGUCCACCUGUAAACCAUGUCCCUAGACACCACAUCUACGUGUCUUUUAAAUACCUCCAGGGAUGGUGUCUCCACCACUUCCUGGGCAGCCUGUUCCAGUACUUGAUAACCCUUUUGGUAAAGAAAUUUUUCCUAACACCCAGUCUAAACCUCCCCUGGCACAACUUGAGGCCCUUUCUUCUUGUCCUCUCACUUGUUACUUGGGAGAAGAGAGACCCCCGCCUCUCCACAACCUCCUUUCAGGUAGUUGUAGAGAGCGAUAAGGUCUCCCCUCAGCCUCCUCUUCUCCAGGCUAAACAACCCCAAUUCCCUCAGCCGCUCCUCAUAAGACUUGUGCUCCAGACGGUUCACCAGCUUCAUUGCUCUUCUUUAAAUGCACUUCAGCACCUCAAAUGUCUUUCUUGUCUGUUAUGUCCAUCUUGCCUAUGAAAUUGCUAACUCAUGAAAAGUACUGCAGAUCACAUGCUUGGUCUUUUUGUCUUACGGUGAGUGUUUUACACUUUCUGGGUUUUUUUUGGAAAGAGUGUUUUGGCAGUUCCUUGGCUUGGGAAUGUCACUUUAUACCAUUUAAAAUCUGUGUCUUUUUAGAUCUUUUUAAAGGCAGGUCAAACAAAUUUGUGUUGCUUCUUCAGCAAAAUUACAAGUGUAUAAUGUGUGUUGUGUAAAACAGAAAACAGGAUGACCAUGAACUCUUCUGGCAAUAUCCAGCCUGGAAACUUGUGCUUUAAUGUGAAGAUUUAUAAUUCCCUUUGGUAUGAAUGUUUCAUAAAGACAAGUAUGCUCUUUGUCUUCCUAAACACAUUAAGAAAAGCAUGCCUGGAAUCAAGGUAAUUUCAGAUAAAUUACACUGCUUGGAGUCUGUUCACUUCUCUGCUGGAAAAUAUAUAGGUGUCGUCUGUCAAGUACUGUGUUUCUUUUAUAUUAAACACAGCUCAGCCUGCUGGGUGGUAAGUGGGAGGCUUAGAGUGGACAGGGUGAGAUUUAUUAGUUCUUUCAGACUGAUGGUGGUUGCUCUGUUCCAGGCAACAUUCUCGAAUUUUCCAAAGGACUCCAUGUUUUUAGUGAACCAGUGGAAGAUGGUGGAAGCUAUGAGUUUUCUACAGCUCUGGAAAAUCAGGCCAUUGGUCUCAAGAUUGGCACUUGUUGUCCAUUGCUGUUGUACCUGAAGAGGUGACCAUUUGCUGUGAGUCAAUGACAUUUAUGCUCCCUCCUAUUUUUUCUCCACCUUUUCCUUCUGUGAAGUACGUUAUGAAAGGAAUGUACUGUGCAAGAUUUUCUUGCAGUUAAUAAUACCAAAAUUCCCUUUCUCGAGAGAAAUGUCCUUUAACACAUAUCAGAGCAUAAUUUUUUUAUUCUGGUAUGUUACUGUAUUGUGUUCCUAAUCCUGAAACAGAGGGAAGCUUGCUCCAAACAGUUUACUGUUUAAUGAGGAUCCAGUCAGUGUGUGUAACCAACAUCAAGAAAACAAGGGAGAGUAAGGGAAACAUCAGUAAUAUGUUGAUGUGAACAAACCAAGGAGUAAAAGUGGUUCUCUUAAGUGUAUUCUGUUAAUAAGAAAACCCCAAACCCAACAACAAACACCUCAAUAUGGCUGUGUCUGGCUUUUCAGCAACUCUCCUGAGUUUUUUUGCUACUUCUGUGCGUCCCUCUCACUGUCAAAGAAUGCAGCAGAGUUCUGUCUACAUGGAAAGCAAAUACUGCAAGUAAUCUAGUCUGUUGACAGGAAGAUCAGUAAGUGGGAAAUAUGUGAUGAAAUGUUAGUCUCAGUAAAACUGAAAUUAAGUAAGAAGAGUUUGUUUUGCCUUUUUUUCCUUCCCUGUUGUAAGGGAUUUUUUGGAGGCGGGGGUUGGUUUCUGUCUAUUGACAAACCUUCUAAAAUUGAAAUUGUACAAGCAGCAGAAAUGGUCAGUAAGGUCAUGAGGAAAGAGAUCAACUUUAUAAAAUAUAUAACUCCAAAAUAGGAAUUCUGAGUAUGGGUAAGGCAAAAGUAUGAAAUACAAGCCUUACGCAAGAGAGUUCUUCCCUGUGUUGAGUGUAGUUUUAUACUGGGUACUUUUUGAGGUUGUUUCUUGGAGAGACUACUGUAAAAGAGGCUCUCACUAACAGUGUUGUUUACCACUGUCAGCCUCACAGGUAGGAUGCUUCUGUCCAGAGAACAAGCAAUGAGAAUUUUAAUAUUGUUCUGCUUUUUAAUUUAAACUACAGAGUUUAGGCUACAUAGUAGAAUUUGGGGAGUCUGACUCCUCAUUAUUUAGGAAUUCUUCUUCAUAUUAUUACAUUGUUGGAAACUGCUGUAUAGUAGAAUCCAAGAUUUGAUCAGAAAGCUAAUCACAUGGUUUGGGUCAAGGGCAGUGGCUAAAAGGGGAUGUUUUAGGGCCAAAGUAGGAAAAAAGAGAUGGAAAACCUGCUAGCUAGCGCAGGAGCAAGAAUAUUUCUGACUAGGAAUCAUUUUUCUGAAUCUAGGCUUAAAAUAGCUAGGUUUUAUUUUUAUUCUUUCUACAACAUUUUGUAAAAAUGUAGGAUUAAAAGUAGCUUUUUUAUAUUGUUAAAGUAGGGACUACUGGACCACAGUUGAGAGAUAAAAAUGCAGUCAGUAACUUAACACAGUAAUAUAGCCUGCAACGUUCCUUGCCACUUAACCAACAACUAUCACCCAGAACUAUGGGUUCCUAGGCUUAUUGUGACAGGCAUGCAAAUAAAAAUAUUUAUUACAAUUGUUGAGUGGGGGGCCCUGCAUUCUCUUAGAAUUCAAGCAAGGUGCACCCGAGUUGCUUCAUUUUGCCAUAUUUUAUGUUGACCCAGACACAGGAAAACUGAAGCCAACCGAAGUACACAAUAAAAAUGUUAAUGAAAAACCUACCAGACCUGGAACCAAAGAAACUUGGUGAAUAUCUUUUCCUCCUCUGGGUAAUAACGCUUCAGUGGGUUGCUGCCUCUGCUCUGAGAGAGACCAUAGGCAGGGCCGGACAGGAGAGGGUGGAGCCAAGCGGGCUGGGUAGAGACACUUGCAGUGAGGAGAAUGGCGAUAGUAGCUGAUGUCCUAAUCUGGAUGUGGGGGCGGGUUUAGUGUUGAGUUGUGGUUUUGGUUUUUUUUUUUGUUGUUUUGUUUUUUUUUUUCCUAAAUCUGGAAGGACAGCAGGCCAUCUCCUGUUGAAAUAAAUGGAGAUGGACAUGCUGUCCAAACAGGGAAAUUUUUUCUAUGCCCUUUUGAGCUGUUCUAAGAAGGAACAGUUCUUCCCUGUUAGCCCACACUCCAAAUGUUAGAUGUAUAAAUAAGAGACUGGCUGUGUACUCCCUCAUCAGUUUCAUUUUGAGAUUUUUUUCUUCUAUCCAGAAUGUAGGAAUAUUUUUAGUUUUUUUCCCCGUAUUAGUUACCCAUAAAAAGUCUGGAGGAAAUUCAGUAAUUCCAAAACUGGAAAAGUGUCCAUAUUUAUUUUUUGACAAAUUUGUUAUGGCUAUUUGGGAAUACUAACAUUCCUUAAUUCUUAGGUCUACAGUCUGCUGUGCAGCUGGUUAUUUCUUUGAGUUAAAUGUUUCAUUUAAUUUUAGACCGCAGAAAUAAUGGGACCUUUAGGAACCUCAGACUGAACUUUGCCAAUGUCUGGACCACUUUGGUUAAAAUGAGUUGUAGAAAUAAAUGGAACAGUUUCAGUAAGAUGCAUAGAUCUUUUCCUGCAUUCUUUCCUUUUGAUAGACAUGCGCGUACUUGUUGAACUAUGGACUUAACCUUAGUUUUGAGGUCUGACUUGUUUCUCAUUGUUUUUUCCAUAAAGUAACAAUGUUAAUCACAGGGAACUAAGUAUUCAUGUACGUGUGUACUUAGUGACCUUAGCCUGCAGACUUUUGGGGAUAAGAAUUUGUAGAGUAAUGACUGCUUUAUUGAUUUUAAUCUAAAAAAAUUAAAAUUAUAGUUGUUUUUUAUCUUUGUUUGAAUUCAGAAUGUCCUUUUUUUGUUUGGUGUCUGUAUGGUGGAGUAACUUGUGCAUUACCUUCUGUAAUUUGUUAUCCUACCAAUUAAUGUAUUUUAUCAGUUUAGCAAAAGCUAUAUCUUAGCACACAAAUGGAACUGAAUUUAAAGAUUGAAUGUUCUUUUUAUUUUCAGGGGUGGUGGUAGUUUGUUAUAACUUUGUGUUGUUAUGAUUCUGGUUUUUGACAGUUUCUUUUUUAUAAAGAACUUAUUUUAUAAAGAACAAAAGGUAGUCUGCAAAACAGGGUGGAAAUCAAACCAGCCUUGAAUAAAACCAGUGCUUUUCAAUAGAAAUCAAAUAAAUUUUGAGCAGGUGAGACUUCCCUAACCAUUGUGUUUCUUUACUGAUUUGAUGCUGUGAAUGUGAACUGACAGAAUCUGACGGCAAAGUCUCCUGCAACUUUGGAAGAACUGGGUUUGUCUUCAUCCGUUUGAAAACUUGCAAAAGGGUUGGUGAUUUUUUUUGUCCACAGAAGAAGGAGUUUUUACUAGCUUUAAAGAGCAGAUGACUUGCCGGUAUUUUAGAACAAGUUUUCUUAUGAGAUUUGUUAGAUGUUGGAACAGAUUAGCUAGAGACACUGUAUGGCUGACUCAUGGGAAGUUUUUAACAGAAAAUACCAUAGUAUCUCUCAGGAUUGAACCUUGUGACGAGAUGAAAGAAAGGAGCUCUGUCCUAUUCUGACGUUUUUAUUUCAUAAAUAACAUGGGGGUUUAGUGGAAUUCCCACAAAUUAGUGCUUGGAACCGGUGUUUUUAUUGAUGAUGGAAUUUUCAGCACAUUUGUGUGUAUCAACACUGGAAGCUACGGUCAUCUUAGUAAAUGGGUUGGCAUAAAUACAAGCUGCUGCCAAAAAGGGAGGUGCCUCAGCUGCCUUUCCUCAUUUACCACCAGUGCUGGGUUUCUUUUCAGGCUGGUUUUCAAUUCAAGUGGGGUGACAAAUAUUCACAGCUUAGAUGAAGGCAAAUCUGUCCUUUUUGCAGCAGCAGCUGCUCAAAGUGACUGUGGAACAGUAGCUUAAGGCUCUGCAGCCAAGGGACAGUCGCUUACUGGGGUACUACAAGUCCUGACCUAGGGCCUUUUUCAGGAAAAAAAACAACAGGCUGAAAGAGCAGCAUAAUAAAAUACAGCUGAAUGUCCUCUAUAGCAAACUAUGACCUUUUGCAUUAGCCUUAAGUGGAAAUAUUAGGUAUUAAGUUCUGCCCAUUAGGCUUUAGCAAACAAGCAAAUUAAGCUAUUCCAGUUUUCAGCUUUCCAAAAAAAUGAUAGCUGAAGAGCUGUAACCAUCUAAUAAUGAAGUCAGGCAGUGUACGUGCGCUGCUUCAAGUGGGGCUUAGCUUCCAGCUUUGUAUCGUUUGCAAAAUCUACUAGCAAUGGCAAGAAAAUGAGUAUAGAAUACAAAAUAAUCACAGUGAAGCAUUAACACAGUGUCCCUCUCCACUAGUGGUGCAGAUUCACAUCACCAUCAGGAAUCCUGUUUUGCAGUGGGGAGAAAGGAGGCAGAAGAUAAAGGAGAAGUCUUGCAUUUGCUAUAACAUUUUAUUUGUUUGCAGUGUUACAAGGUAGAUGUAAACCCAACCUAGCUAAAAUGGUACCUUUGACAUGGAAUUUGUGGUAUUAAGCAUGAUGCUCUGAAAAAUGAGGCGAUCAGAGACCGGACCACACAACGCAACACAAACUGCAGCCAGCCCACGCUUCAUGGAUUUCCGGAAAAAAUAUGGCUUUUCUUUCUCACUGUGUGUCCCCUUGCUCCCACUGCUGUGUACUUGCUGAUUCAGUUUUAAAUCUUUUUCUUUGAAGGCCUCGAAGUUUCUAUAAUGAAUGCCAGCUGCCAGGUGUCUCCAAGUCAUAGAUAUUCCUGCAGAGCCCGGCAGAAGCUAAGAUAGCAUGCACUUAUCUAGCCUUCUGGUACAGUGGCUUAGAGGAAUAACGAAACAGUCUUCCAGAUCACUCUUGGUUGUUAAUGGUUGUGUAAAUUCAGUGUCAAAGGUUACACUUACAAUUUUUUCUGGGGAAAUUGCCAGAGUGUUUGAUCUCCUCAAGUUUGGCCUGUGCUGCUGAAGCUAGCAGGAACUAAAUAACCUGGGGCCUUCAUACAUAUGGUUGUUGGGGGUAGAUUUAGAUGUGUAAAGAUGCAAAUAAAUGCUUCCAUGCAAUAUUCCAGGGAGAAUUAGCCUUUUUGGAAAUUCAGGUGCUUGAUUUUUCUCCCCUAGCCUGUCUCGCUCUGGCAGCAAAUCCAGGGAUGGCCAGUGUACAUUACACGACCAGUUUAAGAGUGGCUUCCAUGGCACAGCUACUUUAUAUGCCUGGCAGCUGGGCUGGGCCAUCCUGGGGUUUUAGGAGCCACCUGGGUCUCUGGCUGUGUGAGGAGGGGCUGCUGACCCUAGGAUGCUCUGGGAUGUGAUCUGUAGCUCCUGCUGCAAGGAAGUUGUCACCUGCCUCCACCCCUCGACUCUCCACAAUACGUAGUGUGUGUCCUUUCCCUUAAAUGCUGUGGGGAGGCAGGAGGUCGGCAGAAUGAAGAUCAGGCUUUUGCGGCAGCGCACGUGUACAGUCAGCGUUCAGUCACAGCCACGGCCACCCUGCCUGGCUGAAUCAGACGGCGUGUGUGGCUGCGCCGGAGCUGGCUGCGGUUCCUGGCUGUACUGUGGCCAGGGCCCAAGCAUUACCUGGGAGAGCUGGCUGGGCAGUGCCAAAAUUCUGUGGGAGCAGUGCUAAUGCGUAAAAAGCCUGAGCGACACGGCCCAUCGUCUCUGCUGUGCUGUACUUGCUCCUACUGUGUGAAAUAGCUUUUCCCCAUACGUGCGAUCAUGCGGAAACAUGCUCGUGUCUUGAAUAUGCCCCGAGAUGCGGAGCCUGAAGGUGCGGCACUUAACGAGGUGCUGCAGCAAGCAAAUGCCAAUGCCAGCGAGAAAAUCUGCCUUUUGCAUUGAAGAGAUCUGAGUAUUUUCCAUUUACUGACAGAUUAGUAAGGCAGAAAGAACAAAGUCGUUUAAUCCCUGAAU